UACGGGGGGAGCAAGCGUUGUUCGGAUUUACUGGGCGUAAAGAGCGUGUAGGCGGCCAAGCAGGUCCGUUGUGAAAACUGGAGGCUUAACCUCCAGACGUCGACGGAAACCGCGUGGCUAGAGUCCGGAAGAGGAGAGUGGAAUUCCUGGUGUAGCGGUGAAAUGCGCAGAUAUCAGGAAGAACACCAAUGGCGAAGGCAGCUCUCUGGGACGGUACUGACGCUGAGACGCGAAAGCGUGGGGAGCGAACAGG
RNAcentral lists this ribosomal RNA (253 nucleotides) under uncultured bacterium. Its description in RNAcentral is "partial 16S ribosomal RNA". It matches the Rfam family "Bacterial small subunit ribosomal RNA", at positions 524 to 776 of the family's 1533-position model. The record is from RNAcentral.